Molecule: ribosomal RNA, 443 nt
Filed under: uncultured bacterium
Lineage: Bacteria
Description: SSU rRNA
Rfam family: Bacterial small subunit ribosomal RNA
Source: RNAcentral
AGAGCGAACGCUGGCGGCAGGCCUAACACAUGCAAGUCGAGCGCCCGUAGCAAUACGGGAGCGGCAGACGGGAUAGUAACACGUGGGAACGCGCCCUUCGGUUCGGAAUAACUCAGGGAAACUUGAGCUAAUACCGGAUACGCCCUUACGGGGAAAGAUUUAUUGCCGAAGGAACGGCCCGCGUCCGAUUAGCUAGUUGGUGAGGUAAUGGCUCACCAAGGCGACGAUCGGUAGCUGGUCUGAGAGGAUGACCAGCAUCACUGGGACUGAGACACGGCCCAGACUCCUACGGGAGGCAGCAGUGGGGAAUAUGGACAAUGGGCGCAAGCCUGAUCCAGCCAUGCCGCGUGGAUGAUGAAGGCCUUAGGGUUGUAAAGUCCUUUAACGGGAAGAUAAUGACGGUACCGUAGAAUAAGCCCGGCUAACUUCGUGCCAGCAGCCGC